GAACUUGUAACUCAAUGGUAGAGUGUUCGUCUGAUAAGCGAAAAAUGGUGGUUCGAUUCCAUCCAAGUUCA
This 71-nucleotide transfer RNA is filed under the name Phalansterium sp. PJK-2012. Its description in RNAcentral is "tRNA-Ile". It matches the Rfam family "tRNA". Rfam says of the family: Transfer RNA (tRNA) molecules are approximately 80 nucleotides in length. Their secondary structure includes four short double-helical elements and three loops (D, anti-codon, and T loops). Lineage: Eukaryota; Evosea; Variosea. The record is from RNAcentral.